CCUACGGGAGGCAGCAGUAGGGAAUAUUGGUCAAUGGGCGGAAGCCUGACGCAGCAACGCCGCGUGAUUGAUGAAGCCCUUCGGGGUGUAAAGAUCUGUCAGUGGGGACGAAACUUGACGGUACCCACAGAGGAAGCAUCGGCUAACUCCGUGCCAGCAGCCGCGGUAAUACGGAGGAUGCGAGCGUUAUCCGGAAUCAUUGGGUUUAAAGGGUGCGUAGGCGGCCUGUUAAGUCUGGUGUUAAAUGCAGAGGCUCAACUUCUGUUCGGCACUGGAUACUGGCAAGCUUGAAUGCGGUAGAGGUAAAGGGAAUUCCUGGUGUAGCGGUGAAAUGCGUAGAUAUCAGGAGGAACAUCGGUGGCGAAAGCGCUUUACUGGGCCGUAAUUGACACUGAGGAACGAAAGCCAGGGUAGCAAAUGGGAUUAGAUACCCGUGUAGUC
This 441-nucleotide ribosomal RNA is filed under the name Escherichia coli. Its description in RNAcentral is "bacterial SSU rRNA". It matches the Rfam family "Bacterial small subunit ribosomal RNA", at positions 338 to 795 of the family's 1533-position model. The record is from RNAcentral. Lineage: Bacteria; Pseudomonadati; Pseudomonadota; Gammaproteobacteria; Enterobacterales; Enterobacteriaceae.